RNAcentral lists this transfer RNA (83 nucleotides) under Bartonella rattimassiliensis 15908. RNAcentral's name for it is "tRNA-Leu". It matches the Rfam family "tRNA". From Rfam's summary of the family: Transfer RNA (tRNA) molecules are approximately 80 nucleotides in length. Lineage: Bacteria; Pseudomonadati; Pseudomonadota; Alphaproteobacteria; Hyphomicrobiales; Bartonellaceae. The record is from RNAcentral.
GCGGAUGUGGCGAAAUUGGUAGACGCACCAGAUUUAGGUUCUGGCGGGAGACCGUGGGGGUUCGAAUCCCUCCAUCCGCACCA